Molecule: ribosomal RNA, 253 nt
Filed under: uncultured bacterium
Lineage: Bacteria
Description: partial 16S ribosomal RNA
Rfam family: Bacterial small subunit ribosomal RNA
Source: RNAcentral
UACAGAGGUCUCAAGCGUUGUUCGGAUUCAUUGGGCGUAAAGGGUGCGUAGGCGGCGCGGUAAGUCGGGUGUGAAAUCUCGGAGCUUAACUCCGAAACUGCAUUCGAUACUGCCGUGCUUGAGGACUGGAGAGGAGACUGGAAUUUACGGUGUAGCGGUGAAAUGCGUAGAUAUCGUAAGGAAGACCAGUGGCGAAGGCGAAUCUCUGGACAGUUACUGACACUGAGGCACGAAGGCCAGGGGAGCAAACGGG